RNAcentral lists this unclassified non-coding RNA (411 nucleotides) under soil metagenome. RNAcentral describes it as "partial contains 5.8S ribosomal RNA, internal transcribed spacer 2, and large subunit ribosomal RNA". The stretch from base 1 to 122 matches the Rfam family "5.8S ribosomal RNA", at positions 35 to 154 of the family's 154-position model. The record is from RNAcentral.
GAUGAAGAACGUAGCGAAAUGCGAUACUUGGUGUGAAUUGCAGAAUCCCGUGAACCAUCGAGUCUUUGAACGCAAGUUGCGCCCGAAGCCGUCAGGCCGAGGGCACGCCUGCCUGGGCGUCACACGCCGUUGCCCCCCCGCGCCCCGCACCCAACUCUUUGGGAGCGACCGCGGGGCGGGCUGAUGAUGGCCUCCCGUGCGCUCCGCCGCGCGGUUGGCCCAAAUACCGAGUCCCCGGCGACGUGCGCCACGACGAUCGGUGGUUGAGAGACCUCUGUCGCAAGUCGUGCGCGCCCGUCGCGUCACGCGGGCUCGCAUAGCGCCUCGCGCCGCACCCGGUGCGGAGCUUUCAACGCGACCCCAGGUCAGGCGGGGUUACCCGCUGAAUUUAAGCAUAUCAAUAACGGAGGA